UAAUAGCCCCGAUUGCAACGGCAUCCUUUUAAAAUGGGCAUUGAGGUUCUCGAAAUGAUCAUUUUAAAAGAUACAGUGGAAAGCGGGAAUAGCU
RNAcentral lists this small RNA (94 nucleotides) under Flavobacterium terrae. Its description in RNAcentral is "Flavo-1 RNA". It matches the Rfam family "Flavo-1 RNA". Lineage: Bacteria; Pseudomonadati; Bacteroidota; Flavobacteriia; Flavobacteriales; Flavobacteriaceae. The record is from Rfam by way of RNAcentral.